CUACGGGUGGCUGCAGUGAGGAAUAUUGCACAAUGGGGGGAACCCUGAUGCAGCAACGCCGCGUGGAGGAUGACGCAUUUCGGUGUGUAAACUCCUUUUAUAUGUCAAGAAAAUGACGGUAGCAUAUGAAUAAGCACCGGCUGAACUCCGUGCCAGCAGCCGCGGUAAUACGGAGGGUGCAAGCGUUACUCGGAAUCACUGGGCGUAAAGGACGCGUAGGCGGGUUGGAAAGUCAGGUGUGAAAUCCUACAGCUUAACUGUAGAACUGCACUUGAAACUUCUAAUCUAGAGUAUGGGAGGGGGAGAUGGAAUUAGUGGUGUAGGGGUAAGAUCCGUAGAUAUCACUAGGAAUACCUAAAGCGAAGGCGAUCUCCUGGAACAUUACUGACGCUAAGGCGUGAAAGCGUGGGGAGCAAACAGGGUUAGAUACCCUCGUAGUC
Molecule: ribosomal RNA, 440 nt
Filed under: uncultured bacterium
Lineage: Bacteria
Description: partial 16S ribosomal RNA
Rfam family: Bacterial small subunit ribosomal RNA
Source: RNAcentral